GCCGGAUUAGCUAGUUGGCGGGGUAAUGGCCCACCAAGGCGACGAUCCGUAGCUGGUCUGAGAGGAUGAUCAGCCACACUGGAACUGAGACACGGUCCAGACUCCUACGGGAGGCAGCAGUGGGGAAUAUUGGACAAUGGGCGCAAGCCUGAUCCAGCCAUGCCGCGUGAGUGAAGAAGGCCUUCGGGUUGUAAAGCUCUUUUGUUGGGGAAGAAAAGCAUUCGGUUAAUACCCGGGUGUUCUGACGGUACCCAAAGAAUAAGCACCGGCUAACUUCGUGCCAGCAGCCGCGGUAAUACGAAGGGUGCAAGCGUUACUCGGAAUUACUGGGCGUAAAGCGUGCGUAGGUGGUUCGUUAAGUCUGAUGUGAAAGCCCUGGGCUCAACCUGGGAACUGCAUUGGAUACUGGCGAUCUGGAGUGCGGUAGAGGGUGGCGGAAUUCCCGGUGUAGCAGUGAAAUGCGUAGAUAUCGGGAGGAACAUCCGUGGCGAAGGCGGCCACCUGG
Molecule: ribosomal RNA, 505 nt
Filed under: uncultured Gammaproteobacteria bacterium
Lineage: Bacteria; Pseudomonadati; Pseudomonadota; Gammaproteobacteria
Description: bacterial SSU rRNA
Rfam family: Bacterial small subunit ribosomal RNA
Source: RNAcentral